UUUUUUUUUGGUUUUGC
Molecule: small RNA, 17 nt
Filed under: Arabidopsis thaliana (thale cress)
Lineage: Eukaryota; Viridiplantae; Streptophyta; Magnoliopsida; Brassicales; Brassicaceae
Description: ATSL010780
Source: RNAcentral